GUCCAGACUCCUACGGGAGGCAGCAGUGAGGAAUAUUGGUCAAUGGCCGGAAGGCUGAACCAGCCAAGUCGCGUGAGGGACGACUGCCCUAUGGGUUGUAAACCUCUUUUAUGAGGGAAGAAUAAAUGCUACGUGUAGCAUGAUGCCUGUACCUUAUGAAUAAGCAUCGGCUAACUCCGUGCCAGCAGCCGCGGUAAUACGGGGGAUGCGAGCGUUAUCCGGAUUUACUGGGUUUAAAGGGUGCGUAGGCGGCGCUUCAGGUCAGCGGUGAAAUACCGGGGCUCAACCCCGGGGCUGCCGUUGAAACCGGAGCGCUAGAAUUCCGAUGCCGUCGGAGGAAUGUGUGGUGUAGCGGUGAAAUGCAUAGAUAUUACACAGAACACCGAUUGCGAAGGCAGCUUGCUAGGCCGGAUCUGACACUGAUGCACGAAAGCGUGGGGAUCGAACAGGAUUAGAUACCCCCGUACG
Molecule: ribosomal RNA, 468 nt
Filed under: uncultured bacterium
Lineage: Bacteria
Description: partial 16S ribosomal RNA
Rfam family: Bacterial small subunit ribosomal RNA
Source: RNAcentral